UUGCUAUAAAUGGUAAAUAUUUUGUUAUUACAGUAUAUUUAUGUAAGUUUCCCUUUAACCUUUUGAAGAAAAAGCAUCUUGGGCUUUGUUAAAUAGUGUCCCAAUGACCCAUUUCUUAACCAGCCCGUUAUCUAGCCCACUCCCUUUUUCUAGUACCCGGCCCAUGUUGUCUUUUAGCAAGAGACAAAGAAUUCGAAAACAGAGCUUUGCAGCAACGAAGCGGUGCUCCGACGAGUGCGUGCCAAUCAAUCUCGCCCUGUCCUUGCAUCGCUGUUCUUUCCCUUUCAUGCGAGCAGAUGUAAUUGCGCUGGCCGCUCCUCUCACUCACUCCGAUCGCGCGUGGGAAGGUGCAGCAACGGAUACCUGCAACUUUGCUGUUUACACCAGUGUUAGUACAGCCGCUGCAGCGCCCAGCGUCCUUGGCUCGCGUGGAUGGGUGCCAUAUCGAGCACAAGGACGAUAGGUUUAAUCCCCGUCGGCCACAUCGUUGUCCCUAUCCGAAUUUCAGGGAAUUUGGCGUCCUUUUGGUACAAGAAGCAGUUUACUUUGGCUAGGGAAAAAGAUUCAAAUUGGGGGAAUCAUUUGUUUAAUUCCUUCCCUACCCUUCCCCCCCCCCCCCCUUUUUUUUUUCAAACCCUAAUUGGUUCCUAUAUAAUAUCUUUUCAAUCACUUGAAGAGGGGGCAGAAAAAAAUUUAAAGAGUGUUUUAGUUGGGAAAAUUCUGGAUUUGGGAUUUUUGGUUUAGCAGAACUAAAAUUUUGUCUUUGAGAACUUCUUUCGGUUGAGACGUUUGAGCAAGAAGCUAGGAAAAAUUUCCCUGAUUUCCAUUGAUAUAGUUGGGAAGGGGUUACAGUGAAAAUAUACAUAAAGAUAACAAAAAAAAGAUACAAAAGAAAAAAAAAAGUUACAGGGAGUAGGAUUGAUUUCAGAGUUGGUUUUUCCCUUUAAUCUGUUCGUUGUUUCUUCUGAGCUUUGGAGGUUCAGAUUUGGCGGUGGAAGUCAGCCUCUCACUCGUCUUAUCCCCAGUUUGCUGCUCCGGAAAGUAAUCAUAAUAAUUUAUAAUUCCUUAGCAAGUCAAGCCCCCAUAAGCAUCGGCGCACAAAUUCCGAAGUUUAAAGAAUUGGAGAGUCGAAGAAGUUGGAUUAAGAAGCCUGUAUCAUUUUAUCCUUUACUUUGUGUUUUGUAACUUUGGGACUAAGCCCUUGUUGUAUUUCUUUUCUGCAUUUAUUUUGUUUAAACCAGGACAGUUACGAAAGAAGAUGGGUCAAAAACCCAAAGUCAAAUGGGUCAAAACCCAAAAGAAAAUGGGUCCAAAUACCGGUCCAGGCGGACAGAUAAACCGGACUUGGACCCAAUCCUCUCUU
Solanum pennellii is the source of this 1363-nucleotide long non-coding RNA. RefSeq lists it as uncharacterized. The record is from RefSeq and is a predicted model, not a curated record. The transcript is spliced from 2 exons. NCBI's taxonomy places the organism in Eukaryota, Viridiplantae, Streptophyta, Magnoliopsida, Solanales, Solanaceae.